GGCUCCAUAGUCGAGUUGGUUUAAGACACUCGCCUGUCACGCGAGAGAUCAGGGGUUCGAGUCCCCUUGGAGUCGCCA
Molecule: transfer RNA, 78 nt
Filed under: compost metagenome
Description: tRNA-Asp
Rfam family: tRNA
About the family: Transfer RNA (tRNA) molecules are approximately 80 nucleotides in length. Their secondary structure includes four short double-helical elements and three loops (D, anti-codon, and T loops). Further hydrogen bonds mediate the characteristic L-shaped molecular structure. tRNAs have two regions of fundamental functional importance: the anti-codon, which is responsible for specific mRNA codon recognition, and the 3' end, to which the tRNAs corresponding amino acid is attached (by aminoacyl-tRNA synthetases). tRNAs cope with the degeneracy of the genetic code in two manners: having more than one tRNA (with a specific anti-codon) for a particular amino acid; and 'wobble' base-pairing, i.e. permitting non-standard base-pairing at the 3rd anti-codon position.
Source: RNAcentral